AGGAUAAACGCUGGCGGCGUGCCUAACACAUGCAAGUCGAACGAGGUAGCAAUACCUAGUGGCAGACGGGUGAGUAACACGUGACCAACCUACCCUAGAGUGGGGGAUAACUAGCCGAAAGGUUAGCUAAUACCGCAUGAAACGUGCUGUGGCAUCACAGAACGUUAAAAGGAGCAAUCCGCUUAAGGACGGGGUCGCGUCCCAUUAGCUAGUUGGUGGGGUAACGGCCUACCAAGGCACCGACGGGUAG
Molecule: ribosomal RNA, 250 nt
Filed under: uncultured bacterium
Lineage: Bacteria
Description: partial small subunit ribosomal RNA
Rfam family: Bacterial small subunit ribosomal RNA
Source: RNAcentral